GGGAGGGUGGCUGAGAGGUUGAAAGCGCUGGGCUUGAGUUCCAGAGACAAUAGUCCGUGGGUUCGAAUCCCACCCCUCUCA
This 81-nucleotide transfer RNA is filed under the name Candidatus Tremblaya phenacola PAVE. RNAcentral describes it as "tRNA-Ser (TGA) (tRNA-Ser-TGA-1-1)". It matches the Rfam family "tRNA". From Rfam's summary of the family: Transfer RNA (tRNA) molecules are approximately 80 nucleotides in length. Their secondary structure includes four short double-helical elements and three loops (D, anti-codon, and T loops). Lineage: Bacteria; Pseudomonadati; Pseudomonadota; Betaproteobacteria. The record is from RNAcentral.